GACGGGGGGAUGCAAGUGUUAUCCGGAAUCACUGGGCGUAAAGCGUCUGUAGGUGGUCAAAUAAGUCAACUGUUAAAUCUUGAGGCUUAACCUCAAAAUCGCAGUCGAAACUAUUAGACUAGAGUAUAGUAGGGGUAAAGGGAAUUUCCAGUGGAGCGGUGAAAUGCGUAGAGAUUGGAAAGAACACCGAUGGCGAAGGCACUUUACUGGGCUAUUACUAACACUCAGAGACGAAAGCUAGGGUAGCAAAUGGG
Molecule: ribosomal RNA, 254 nt
Filed under: uncultured bacterium
Lineage: Bacteria
Description: partial 16S ribosomal RNA
Rfam family: Bacterial small subunit ribosomal RNA
Source: RNAcentral